CCCUUAGAUGUUCGGGGCCGCACGCGCGCUACACUGAAGGAAUCAGCACGUCUUUCUCCUUGUCCGAAAGGACUGGGUAACCCGCUGAACCUCCUUCGUGCUAGGGAUUGGGGCUUGUAAUUCUUCCCCAUGAACGAGGAAUUCCCAGUAAGCGCGAGUCAUAAGCUCGCGUUGAUUACGUCCCUGCCCUUUGUACACACCGCCCGUCGCUACUACCGAUUGAAUGUUCCGGUGAACACUUUGGAAUAGUUCUUAUGUGAGGGGAAACUCUUUGCUUGGAUACUGUGAAGUUGUGUAAACCUUAACAUUUAGAGGAAGGAGAAGUCGUAACA
Molecule: ribosomal RNA, 332 nt
Filed under: uncultured eukaryote
Lineage: Eukaryota
Description: partial 18S ribosomal RNA
Rfam family: Eukaryotic small subunit ribosomal RNA
Source: RNAcentral